This 1953-nucleotide long non-coding RNA is filed under the name Anas platyrhynchos platyrhynchos (common mallard). RNAcentral describes it as "lncRNA (ENSAPLG00000019111.1)". Lineage: Eukaryota; Metazoa; Chordata; Aves; Anseriformes; Anatidae. The record is from RNAcentral.
CCCCUCCCCUUUCCCAGGUGAUUGCGUUUGGGUGCUGGGUGGGGACAAAAGGUAUAUGAGCCCCAGGCAUGCCAUCAGAGAGCUCCUUCUGCCUGGGCUGCUCUCUGGGGUAAGUGCUUUGCUUUUCCUUCAGUCAGUUGCAGGGUUCUCUAGGCAGGCUGGAGCCUAUGGAUUUCUGGAUUUUAAGUGCUUGGAAUUCACUUAGUAGAGGGAUGUUUAGUAGGGGCUGCUGGCUCACUGUUUUUUUGGGAUGGUGGGAUACUCUUCUGUUUUUGAGCUAUAUUUUAAUAUCUAGAUGUAUAAACCCACUUGUGUAACUCUCCAGAGGACUAAAACCAGCUUGACUGCAUGCUACAUGUGGCUUGGCAGUGUAGAUGCAGCAUUACUAAGAGACUGAGCAGGGUUGUAUCAGAGUCACCUCUUUCAUCUGCGUAAGUCUGUGACUACCCCUUCCUGGGCUGCUGUGUGUGCAUGUCUUUUUGGCAUUUAUGGAGCUCUGUUUUUUUUUUUGUGUGUGUGUGUAUGUUCAAAGUUUUUUUUUUUUUUUUUUUGAGGGGCAAAUAGCGUGUUUGCUGAGCGUGGUUGGCAGGAGGAGGUGGGGAGCUCCUCAGGACUGGUGCUUUGUGCAGUCGUGGACAGGGAAGGGAAAUCCUCAUGUCACGAAGCACUGAGGGAAGGGAGUGUGGAUGAUGCUGGCCGCUCCUUUCAAGCUUGGACCUAAUUGGCAGGUACAGAGGCUGCAAUGCAGUGUGCAGUGCAGGAUGUCUCAACCAGCUGCCUCUGCAGUGACUCUGGUGGAGUGGAUGAUAGUGGCUGCACUGUUGGAGCUUGGUUUCGGAGAGGAACAGGUGAGCAGAACCGUAUGUUGCAUCAGCAGUAGUCAGCAUUGUGGAGAAGGUGGGCAUCAUGGCCGACGUGCUAGUGAAUGCUGGUACUCUGUUUUUUGCAGCUGAUGAUGAGCCUGGCAAUUGACUAAGAUGACAAUCGGUGCCUGUGUAUUUCUUGAGGUGGAAGGAAUUUACCAUCCAACAACCUGAGAGCUAAGUUGGGGGGCGCCUGGUAUUUGCAUAUCUGGGGUGGCUAAUGGGAGCUGGGAGCCAGAGCAGCAUGGAGCCAGCUGGCUGAAUAGACUUGGUGCCACUGUGAGGGUGUUUCAGGCUGGGUCACGUUCAGGCUGCUUGUGGCUGGGUCACCAGGCUAAUAGAAGCAGCGGGAUUAUUUCGUAGCGUGAGUGCGUGUGCCAGGCAGGACAGUUUCCUUCAGUUUGUCUGUCUUGUGGUGUUGCUUCUGCAGUGUGUGUUGUGAGUUAUGGUCUCCUUCGGUCUUGAUAUCCUCAUGGGUUUUGACACUGGACUGACCAGACAGGCGACUUGGUAGCUGUGCUGAAGGGCCUCAAUGCUUGUUUUGUCAUCAUGGCUCUGAUCCGAGCACUUCUUGUCUUGCAGUCGCUGCUUGAAGUGUAGAUGUGUUUCAGGUCUUGUUCAUUGUAUUCGGUUUGAGAUCACAUCUGUUUCCAUCCUCACUCUUGCAGAAGUCAUCUGGGGCACAUCAGGAGCCUUUGCUUGGGAAUUGAUUUCCUCAGUGUCUUCUUAGGGGGUUUUCACUCCCCAUCCUUCUGGUCUCUUGUCUUGAAGGCAGGCUUUUUAGGCCUCCAUCAUCCCAGUUCUGGCAGUUCUUCCAGUCACAUGUUGAGACGUUUGAGUGUCUCCUUGGGUCUGGUGUAGAGCACCUGUUCUGACUUGCUGUUGCCAUAGGGCUUCCCUCUGGGGUCACUUUUUCUUGCGCCUCGUGUUGUGUGUUUUGUUUGUAGUGUUCGUGGCGUGCUUGUGUGUGUAUGUGUUUGGUCUGGAGCUGUCCUGCCUGGCAGUUAGUGAUUAACAUGGCAGGUCAUGGGUGUACUAAUACAUUGUCUGGACUGUGUUUUCGAAGACAUCUGGUCUGCCUCUGGGCACG